UACGUAGGGUGCAAGCGUUAAUCGGAAUUACUGGGCGUAAAGGGCGCGUAGGCGGCCCGCUAAGUCGAACGUGAAAUCCCCGAGCUCAACUCGGGAACUGCGUCCGAUACUGGUGGGCUUGAAUCCGGGAGAGGGAUGCGGAAUUCCAGGUGUAGCGGUGAAAUGCGUAGAUAUCUGGAGGAACACCGGUGGCGAAGGCGGCAUCCUGGACCGGCAUUGACGCUGAGGCGCGAAAGCUAGGGGAGCAAACGGG
Molecule: ribosomal RNA, 253 nt
Filed under: uncultured bacterium
Lineage: Bacteria
Description: partial 16S ribosomal RNA
Rfam family: Bacterial small subunit ribosomal RNA
Source: RNAcentral